This 403-nucleotide ribosomal RNA is filed under the name uncultured bacterium. RNAcentral's name for it is "bacterial SSU rRNA". It matches the Rfam family "Bacterial small subunit ribosomal RNA", at positions 791 to 1188 of the family's 1533-position model. The record is from RNAcentral.
UAGUCCACGCCGUAAACGAUGAAUGCUAGUUGUCGUGUGGUUUUCCACUCGGUGACGCAGCUAACGCAUUAAGCAUUCCGCCUGGGGAGUACGGUCGCAAGAUUAAAACUCAAAGGAAUUGACGGGGGGCCCGCACAAGCGGUGGAGCAUGUGGUUUAAUUCGACGCAACGCGCAGAACCUUACCACCUUUUGACAUACCAAUCGCGAACACCUGAGAAGGCGUUCUUCAGUUAGGCUGGAUUGGAUACAGGUGCUGCAUGGCUGUCGUCAGCUCGUGUCGUGAGAUGUUGGGUUAAGUCCCGCAACGAGCGCAACCCUCACCUCUAGUUGCCAUCAGGUUUGGCUGGGCACUUUAGAGGAACUGCCGGUGAUAAGCCGGAGGAAGGUGGGGGAUGACGUCAA